This is a long non-coding RNA of Mus musculus (house mouse), 20130 nucleotides long. RefSeq annotates it as predicted gene, 46371. The record is from RefSeq and is a predicted model, not a curated record. NCBI's taxonomy places the organism in Eukaryota, Metazoa, Chordata, Mammalia, Rodentia, Muridae. The transcript is spliced from 2 exons.
GAAGGAAGCAUGGUCUCUGCUCGACACUAAACUCUUGUGCCUGGUCCCGGAGGAGCAACAUAUGAUUUCUCCUCCUUGACAAUCUCAUGCUCUUGGUUUUGCCUGCGCUACAUAUCGGUUGGUUUUGUGUCACCAACUCUCUCUUUAUACUUUCUAAUCUGUGCUGUCUGUUGGAUUUAAAAUCCAUGGAAACCAGGGCCCAUGGUAAGCUCUGUCUGUCUUCUUGGUCUUCUAAGCAAAGGUUUGUAUAGAGGUUUCUUUGGGAGAUGUUCAGUGGUGGGCAGCUAACCUUACAGUGGCCAGCACACUAUGAGAAUGGCUCAAAGUGUUUUCAGCCCCAAGUCCACAAAUAUUUGGAGGGAAACAAAGAGCUGAGUUCUGUGUCUCUCUCCUGAAGCACCUGAGUCAUUUGGGCAAGGUGUUUCUGCCUCCUGUCCUUUCCCCAUCUGUCUGCCGAGCCCUGCUGUGGUGUCCUUAGGGACAGAAGGAAGCCUGACUUGUUUGGACACUGCCAUUCCUGAAGCCCGGGAGGCUUGUCCUGCUUGCCUCUGCGUGGGAAUGUUCUUUUCCCCAGGCUGUCUACUCCGAUACCAGCUUCUCUGUGUGUUAGGUGCCUCAGGCCUGGGUUGGCCCAGCUCCGUGGCUAUCCAGUGCCCGGUGCUAGAAGGCUUCCCUCUGAGGCCUGCUGUGCUGCUGAUGGGCACUUGAAAGGUAAGGCCUGGAGCUCCUGCCCCUCGCCCCUGCCCCUCAUCCUAAUGGGCAAAGCUUCCAACCCAGGCUGGCCAAACAGUCCAUUGUGUUUUCUGCAUCAGACCCUUAAUCCUGCCUUCCUCUCUCAGCAGUAACUCAUUAGCUUUCCCCCCUCCGUUCUUUCCCCCUUUGAUGAGAACAAAGCUGGCUCCUCCCUGCGCUCAAUCUUCCUUUUCCUUCCCAGGGAAUAGCCCUGAGCCAGUCCAUCCCCUUAGCCAGAAGUCCCUGGAAUGGUGUCACCAACAGAAGGGGCAUCUCCUCCUUGACCGCUUGGCCUCUGUGCUGCGCCCCGCCCCGCCCAGGAUCCCACUGCAGGUGUGCCUGGGCCUGUUGGGGGUGGGGCGUUGCCUUGUGUACCGAAAGCCCCCCACUCAGCAGCCGCAGCACCCAGCUCUUUAAAGGGAAGAACAGUCGCACAUACCACAUGUUAAUGCCGAUGGAAUUUUACUCUUACUAAAGCCCUUUGAAGUCCCUCGUCCUGACCCCGCCCCUCUUGCCCUCAGCUCUUAGAUGUGGUGGGCUCUGUCAUCAGGGUUGCUGGAGUCAAAGUUGCAGGAAAACCAUCUGACUUUCUCUAAUACAACUCUUUGAUGUUGAGUGAAACAAAAAUCUAUUUCUACCCAAUGCUGUAGACUUCUGAGAGGAACUCUGGAAGGCAGCCCCUGUAGCAUGGUUAGAAUUUCAAAUUGAUUUCCUCUUCUCUUUUAAACCUCAACUGUACUGUAUUUGGGGUGACUAGGCACUGGAGUCAUCAGGCCAGCUCUGACGGAGCACCUACUGUGUGCCAGGUCCCUCCUACUUCACCCAGGAACCAGGUCGUCUAGACUUCCCUGCUUUUUCCCAUUGCAUAUGUCUGAGAGGAAGGUUAGCCAUGCGCCGCAGAUGUCUGAGGUAGGACCAAGCCAGCUUGAUUGCACUGUUUCUCUUCCCAUUUCAAUUUUCCACCUCGCGGUCACUGUCGUUUCUGGAAACACUGCCCGGUGUCUAAGAGUUGAUGCAAUCCUUGGUAAGGAAGAAUGGCAUCCAAGAUGGUUAAUAUUGUUAACUAGGAGACCAACCUAAGGUUAAUUGAAGUGAGAAUGCCCACCCUAAAAGUGGGCAGCACCAUUUCCGGGCUGGAAGUUUCAGACGGAAUAAAAAGUUGGGGGUGGGGAGGUAAGAGCCCAAGCUUCACAAGCCAGGCAACCUGAGCACCACUCCCAGAAGACGUGUAAAAGCCAGAGAGGGCGGAGGGUCCGGAAGCUUGGGGCCCACUAGCCUUAUGCAGCAUAGCAGAAGCAAAUCGUAGAUGGAGAUCUCUCCCCCCCCACCCCUUUCACUCACACACACACACACACACACACACACACACAGAGUAGUACCGAGUUGUCCUCUGACUGCUACAUAUGUGCCUACGCAUACAUACACAUGCAUGGUAGUAAUAAAACUAGAAUACUUUAAAUGGGGAAAAAGCGAGCUGAGCCUCCGUCUCUCUCAGCUGCCUGAUGCUCUCUCUACCAGUGGGAUUUCCCUGCCAUGGUGGACCAGACUCUUGAACUCUGAGCCAAAGAUCAACUUUUCCUUCCUUAAGCUACUUUUAUUAGGUAUUCCAUAGGCAGGAUGAGCCUGUGACACCGAGGUAGAAACUGGCAAGGCAUAGCCAAAAUAGGGGCCACUGGAAAGAGGAGGGCCACUGGAAGGAGGGCCUUGAAGGAUGUUGGGAAGGGACUAGAAGGAAAAGACAACUUGAGCAGGUGGUGAAGGAGGACCCUAGGGGACGGGGAGGAGUGAGUGGGGUACACUCAUGUUGCAGGGCGCCUCCAGUUUAGAAAAGCUGGAAAAGCAGGUGUAGGUGGAGUCAGGACAGAUCAUACUGUAUUUUCUCAAAAUGACUUGGUUUUUAUGAUUUAAGAGUUAUUUAUAUUGACUUUAGUAAAAGAAAGAGUCGAAGUCCACUGCAUCCAAAGGCUUUCUUGUUCUUGAACGCCACCAUUGGAAUCCAUCUUGUUUUCUUCAUCCUGCAGAAUAAAUGUUCACACAUUUUUCUUGUAGUUCUUUAUGUAUGGAAAAUUGACGAGGGCUAACCACUUUUGGAUUUGAGUAUUUUUUUUUUAAAAUCAUUGUGGGUAAAGCAAUGUAUUUUGCUACCACUCAUCAAAAAGAAAGUGUCUCUAAGCAGGAGCCCACAUUGUACGUACACACACACACACACACACACACACACACUGAUCAGAUGAUCUAAGGCACAGUGUGGCACACUCAGGAUCAAGCAGUGACUGUCUUAUAAAACUGAAUGGCUGCCUGGCUUCCAUGGAUUCGCUUCUAACAGUUAGAAUAGGCCUUAACGUUGGAGGUCUGCUAAGACAAGAAUUGGAGUCUGAAAGGAGAUGCACCGUACAGUCCUUUUGGUUUGUGUAUGCCACAUCAAGCCAGCUGCCUGGGGGACAAAACACAACAGGUCCGAGGCUCUUUUCAGUCACCUCAGCAGAAGUGUUGCUAACGAGAGAAUUAUCUGCAAUUAACGUGGCAGGCCAUUGGCUCCUUCUCAGUUACUUUUGGAUUUUUGCUGUUAUUCCUUCCCAGUUUUUUUUUUUAAGUAAAUUUGAUAAAUAUAUAUUAAAGGUUGAAACCUAACCUUUCCAUGUAUGUAAGUGUGUAUUGUAAAAUAAUGCUCACAAUCAGGCUAAUUAAUGUUUCCCCCUCCCGUGUGUGUGUGUGUGUGUGUGUGUGUGUGUGUGUGUGUGUGUGUGUGUGUGUAAAGCUUAAGGCCUACACACACUUAACAGACUUAAGUUUAUAGAUGUUAUUAGCUGUACUCACCUUUUUGCAUGUGAGAUCUUAAAUCUCUCAUCAUAAUUCCAAGUUUGCAUCCUGCAACUGUUUUCUCCCACCUGCUCUGGUGUCCUUUCCAAACAGUCGCUGCCCUGGUCCUCGCUUCUGGACUUUUCAGCCACGGUGUCCUAAAUCUUUAGUGGGUUUUUAUUUGAUCUGAUAAUCUCCAUUUUAUUUUGUUCCGAAUAGAAAUUUGUUCUUAAAAGGAAACAGAUUAGUGUUUCAACUGUGGAUAGGAGUGGGUGCUGUGUAUCUUUUGGGAGGUGCAGCUCCUACGGUUUGUGCUUAUUUCUGUUUCUUGCAAAGGAAAACCCAUGCUAAGAUUUUUCGUCCCACAUCACAGAAUUGCUGGAGUUGACAGGACUUUUCCGUGACCCAGUGUAGAGCUCCCCAAAGGGCUUGGUAGGACCACCUGCAGUAGACAUUGGGAUGCCCCUUUUGAUUUUAUGUGACUCUUUUCAUGGUCAAAAAUUGGGGGGAGUGCAACUCACGGUGUUUCUUUGUAGUACUAGAGAGUUCUCUACUUUACGAAACUGAUACUUUAAAAAGUGAUGGUACCCUAGUUAUUAGCAUAGUCUAAGGGAUACCAGUUUGGAAGAAAACAAAUACCUAAAAUAGCGUGUCUUAAGUAAUUUGUCACUCUGUGGUGGCGGUGAGAUCAGUUUAGUGCCUGGGACUCUCUCUCUUUCCGAGAAAUAAUGGAGUCGGCAGCAGCAGAUGUUGAGAGCUCGCUCACCGUAGGGCAGGGUUUUGUGCACCUUGAGUUUCAGUUAUGUCUGUGUGCUUGUGUGAAGUCAGUCAGAACGAAACAUCUAUUUCUUACUCCAGAAGACAGCCAAAAGUUUCUGGAGAACACCAGUCUAAUUCACUUCCUCUUUACAUGGAAAAACACUUGAGUCUCCUGUGGGGGUUAUGAUCACUUGCAGAGGUCGACCAGAGAAUCUGAGGCUUUUAUCUUCUCUCUCCCCCUUCAUUCAGCACACUGGCUAAGUACACUUAACACCUUGUUAAACGACAUCAGUGCUGGUGCAAACAACCCAGAGGCCAUCCGUAGGUGGUCAGGCAGAAUGUGCACGGGGAAGCACUAGUCAGCCUUAAAAAGGACGUGCCGCAACGUGGAUGAGCCGUGGAGACACUGUGCUAAACAGCCUAAGGAAGCCCGUCACAGAAAUCUCCUCUGUAAUUUUCUGUUUGGGAUGAUGCUCUGGAGACAGAUAGGGGUAGAGUUGAUUACACAAUAGGAAUGUCCCAACCGUCACCUAGCUGCACUUAAAAAAAAAAAAGUUCAGAUGGCAGCUUCAUGUUAUGUAUGUUUUAGCACCCUCCCUGGAAAAGGCACAAAGAUUUUGUUUUGCGUUUUAGCACCCAUCCCUUCCUUUGGUUCCACCCCUUUAGGGGUGCAGGUCCAGACAAGAGGAUGCAAACAAGACAGGUUCCUUCCUCCUAGGGACCCCCAGAGCGCAGCAUCCAGGGGCAGCCUUAAGGCUGGAAUUCUCUGCCCACAUCUCCACAGCUUGUCAGGCUGAGCCAUGGUCUCAUCUGCACUAGCGGUCAUGAUUGCAACCGUUUGUGUAGCGGUUCUCUUAGUUUCUCCAUCCUUUGGGUGAUGUUUUGCCCUAACCAGUAGACAAAUGGCCGUAAUCUCCGUUUAUUCUUCCUUUUAUAAGCUCUGCAGGCACUCUUGCAAAUAGCAGCUGAGAUGGCAGGUUCCUGGGCCUGAGUCACUUAGAGUGAUUUCUCUGCAGAUCCAUCUCUGCUUUUGCCCUACUUUGAGAUUGAGAAUCAAAAUAACUGGAUGAACAGAAGUAGGCAGGGGCAACAGGCUCCUGGAAGUUGGAUGUGUGUCUUUUCUCUGAGCCGAGUAACAUGUUUGAGACUUUAAUACAAAGCAGUUUCUGUGUGCAUAAAGUUACCACAGCUUGGAGUCACCUGCCGGCCUUGAGGAUUUUGGAUACUUUCUUACUGCAAGCACUUCUUUGCUUUUGACCCCCCUCCCCCUCUACCAACCAGGUCUGUGUUUCCAGCAACCCUGCCAGAACCUCCGUAGCCCCCAGAUCUUCCUCAAUACAAAGCGCCCCCUUUGGCUCUGCCAGUGGUUACUGGGAGCUAAGGAGCUUCAGACAUCAUUUGUUACAUUGAGACUGCCGUGAUAAUGACUUUGGAACUCCUAGCUUGCCUGUGGGGGUCUUGGGUCGACUCUCGUCUUUCCUACGUUAGCUCUGCUGGCAUUCAGAACUGGAGAUUCUUUAGACAUUUAGAAGCAUACAUAAUCUCCACCCGUGAGAUACCAGUUACACUCUCCAAGAUCAAAAAGAGGAGUGGGUGGUGGCUGGUGUGCCCAGGAUGCCAGAGUAACACUGGUGGAGGACCACCUGGCAAACCCCACAGUUCUUCUGAGGUGUGUAUAUUGAGCACCCUAUUAGGUUUUCUAUUUAGGAAAAAAAAAGGAAAGGCCCUGGGGUUUUAUCCUCAGUUUAAUUUGUUUAAUCCCCAUUACAUUAAUACAGAACUCAGCUCUUUAGAGGGCAUAUGAAGUCUGGUUAGCUGGGGAAGUCUGCCUCCCACCAACAGUUCCUUUACCAGUGCUGAGCCUGCUCUGUGUAUGGCGAAAGGCGAUGUUCAGUCCUGCCACAGUGAUGUGGUUUCUGGUGUGGUCUCUCUGCUGGAGGAUUACCUUUUUCUCUUUUUCUUCUUUUCUCUUAUUUCUCUCCUCCCUCCCCUCCCCCUCUUUCUGGGUGUCUCUGUCUCUCUGUCUCUGGCCCCCCCCCCACUCCCCCUCCCCCCACCCCCGGCCGUUUCUCUGACAGUGUUUCUCUGUGUAGCUUUGGUUGUCCUGGAACUUGCUCUGUAGACCAGGAUGGCCUCCAACUUACAGAGAUCCACCUGCUUCAGCCUCCCAAGUGCUGGGAUUAAAGGUGUGCGCCACCACCACCCGGCGCAUCUCCUUCUCUUCUGUUUUGCUGCUUCUCCUAUAAGGCAUGGUAAGGUCUUGUGGGGUUACCAACUGGGCAGUCUCCGUGAGCUUGUGUAGAUGAAGUCUGGAGUAGGGGUGCCCUGUGGUUCCUUCCUUCUCUUCCUGCCAGAUCCAGUCUCACGCUAUUUAUUCCCAUGCCCCCUUGUUUUUCUCUCCAUAUCUAUUUUGGUUGGUUGGUUGGUUGGUUGUUUUUUUGUUUUUUGUUUUUGUUUUUGUUUUUGUUUUUGUUUUUUUUUUUUUGAGACAGGGUUUCUCUGUGUACCUUGGCUGUCCUGGAACUCACUCUGUAGACCAGACUGGCCUGAAACUCAGAAGUUCACCUGUCUCUGCCUUCUCUACAUAUCUGAAUAGAGAAUGAUGCUUGCCUGUCUUCUUAAGUGGCUGGCAGUGCUGUGGCCAGACUCUCCCAUGGUGCUUACAUAUUGGGAUGUAGUAUCAGUCACUUGAUAUUUGAGAAUUCCUUGUGGUGUGGACUUCUUCCACAGUCUUCCAUGCUGUGCUGGCAGCUGUGUUUCUGUGUGUAUCCGUCCUAUAUUUCUGGAGUUCCAGUGAGCCACUCUCUGUGGGGGUCCCUUGGAUAUAUGAUAACUAAACCAGGUUUUCUAUUGAUAAUCAAAGUGCUGACCCCAUGUAGGAGGAUGGAUGUAUAAAUCUCCGUCAGCUUAACAAAGAAUUAGGUUUAGCUUUUCUGUCUCUUUGGAGUUCCUCCAAGUACUAAGGGUCUACAGGGCAGUGGUGACUUUUUGUUUGUUUGUUUGUUUUGUUUUUCGAGACAGGGUUUCUCUGUGUAGCCCUGGCUGUCCUGGAACUCACUCUGUAGACCAGGCUGGCCUCGAACUCAGAAAUCCACCUGCCUCUGCCUCCCGAGUGCUGGGAUUAAAGGCGUGCACCACCCUGCCCAGCUAGUGGUGGCAUUGUUGAAGUCACUAGCCAGUGUUCUGGAAGAACCCUGCUGGGGAUCUGAAAGCUAGGUGUUUUAUGUUAAUGCUGGGUAAACUCAGGUCUCUUCAUCUUCACGGAACUCAGUAUCUUGGCUUAUAAACCCACGUGGCUGGGUGGUGUCAUCUCUGUGGUCCUUUCUGACACUGAAUGCACUGCUGACAGCUGCAAACUCAUGGUCUGCCAGGCUUGUGAAGAAGGUAUAUCACACACUUAAAAGCAUGGCUUCCUUGCUCACUAAGAGGACUCUGGGCAACAGGAAGCCUAGCAACUCUUGGAGCGGUAGAUCCUUUCAGGAGGUAAAGCAUGAGUUAGAGGAAGUAAGCCAAAUGUCUCAUCCAAGCCCCUCUCUAGAGGUAUUAUUCCUGACAGACAGCUCGGACAACACCGUCUAGAGUUGAGUCAAAGUUACACAUUGCAUCUGCUCCACAAGCCGUACGUAAGGGUGUAGGAUAGUGUAAAUGUCGACUCCAUGCCUCUCAUUUCAUCGUUCCAGGACUGGGGACCUCACAGAUGUCAGCAGCUAAGCUACUCAACAAGUUACUCAACAAGGGAGGACAGUCUCUAGUUGUUAAGCGUGUCCGUCAUGUUUUAAAUGAUAUUCAGGAUGCCCCCUUGCUCUUCCCUGUGACAACUGAGCAUUUGUAUUGAGAUUUCAGUAGUUUUGUAGGCAGUCUCGCCUGCAAGACUACAUCCUGAGAACUCGCCGCAUGUCAGCUUCACUUCUUGGUCCCCCAGGAUGCUUCCUUGGUACACGAAGACCUUAUUGUGAUCCUGUAUAUACAUGGGCUGUUCGUUGCUCUUCCAAGGGUGUAAUUGUAGAGCCAGCGAUUGCACUCAGCCACCUGGAAGGACCCCCACGGCUCUGGUCAGACCGCCCCCACACAUGCGUCUGCAUGUGUACUGGGUACACAGGAAAUGCUAUAGAAGGAGUGUCAGAAGGUGGAAGCGCUCGAUGAGUGGGCGUUGAGCGAACCCAGUGCAAGAGGAUGAGUAUUUUAUGGUUCUCUGCUCUCCCUACUUGGUGCCCUUUACUGUGGGUUAGUAGAUGAGAUGGAGUGUGUUCUGGCUGAUACAUGGUCACUGGUUAUCUUCAGAGACAGAGCUUUUUGUGGUUUUACAGCUCUGGCUUUUUUUUUUUUUUUAAGCAGUGUUUACUAUUUCUGGCCAUUAUGUACACUAAUAUAAAAUUUUAAUUAGAGUCUUUCUUUUCAAUUAAUUAUUAUAGCCUUGUUUGUUUGCUUUCUCAACAGAGCUUACAUUAUGGGAACAAGCGAGAUCAAUUUUCUAUCACAGAAUUCAUUACUUCUGACUAUAGUCCAGCACGAUGCUGAGUGUGUAGCUCACUCUGGUGACUUCCCCAGCAGCUGGAGGAUGGUGGGGUGUGACAAGGAUGAGGAAUCAGGGGCCUUAGUGGGAGGAUGGUUUGGGUCUGAGAAGAAUCCCGAUGACUGUCCUUCUCAGGUCAGUGUAUGAAUGAAGUCAAAAUUCUGUGUGUUCCCAGACAUUGAAAACCCUUGUGUCUUUUUUAUUCCUUUGUUUGUUUGUUUAGUACUAUCCAGACUGUUGAAAUUGGUGUGUGCUAAGAAAGAUUUUACCCUUGUUAGGCUGUUUUCUCUGGCAACAUCUAUUAAAGAAGGUACAUGCUCUUUCUGAACACAGGGGUCUGGCAUUGUGCUCACUGCCAGGGUCCACACUGUGUGCCUGGUAGAUGUUAAAUACAUAAACAUGAGAAGACGUGACAUAAAUAGCAAAUGUUUCUCUGCAUCAUUGAUUUUAAAAGUAUUUUCUGGAUUAAAGAUGGUCUGUGCCUUUGUCUGCAGUAACUUUCUCUGAGUAAUGUCUUAGGUAGUGUUGGCUUCAGUGCUGUAUAUUAUACAGCAAGUGGACUUGGUUAUCAAAAGGUGCAGAUCCAGCCCAGCACAGUCCUCAUGACUCAAGGGCAGCCUGUGGACUUGGAGUCUCUCUCUCUCUCUCUCUCUCUCUCUCUCUCUCACACACACACACACACACACCUGGUGCAGAGCCAAGUGCCACUGUCACUAGCCUUAUGAUGUUGGGGCAUAGCAUCACCUGUCUUGUUGUAUAUCACCAAUCUGUCAUACAAAGCCAGGAAUGGUUGCCGCCCAGUGAGGUCCAUUUACAAGUGUGUUAUGUUCUAGUGUGGCCUUGCGCAGUAACACAUGCACACAGAAGAUGCACUUGGAGAUGUUUUCUAUCAAAUGUGCCUAGUGUGGUUCUCUUGAUGUUCCCCUGCACACUGACUGUUGAUAAAUAUCUCAACAUCAUAUGUAGUGUUUUUUUCUGAAUGUGAAAUUAGAAGUGUUGUCCCACCCUCGAUAAUUUUUGGUCAUUGAACUAAUGUUGCCAGUGCUGGCCAGAGCUAGCAGCUUGAACGUGUAUGUAAUUAUUUUGAAAGUGGCUCUUCAUUCUCUCUCUCUCUCUCUCUCUCUCUCUCUCUCUCUCUCUCUUUUUUAGAUUUAUUUAUUAUAGAUAAGUACACUGUAGCUGACUUCAGACACACCAGGAGAGGGUGUCAGAUCUCAUUACGGGUGGUUAUGAGCCACCCUGUGGUUGUUAGGAUUUAAACUCAGGACCAUCGUUCGGAAGAGCAGUCAGUGCUCUUACCCAUUGAGCCAUCUCACCAGCCCGUGGCACUUCAUUCUUAAAUGGCUCAGACCCCCUAUGAUAGUGAUUUACUUCCACAUCUUACCUCUGUGGUGAGGGAUAAAGGAGCUUGGUAUGCUAUGUCUGAGGAAUUAUCAAGGACAGUUUAGAAAACUGAGGUGCAAAGCCCCUUCUGGAACAUUCCAAGCCCCUACAAUAAGCUUUUCCAGCAGGCCCAGGUCAUAGUGUUAGUGGCAUGUGGAGCUGGAACAUGACCACGGGCAGCUUGGUCAGCGUUCGCCUCCUGUGUCUCUGUGUUUGCCUGUCUUGCUCUGUCUCUGCCCUCUAAUGUUCUGGACCUUGUGAGUGACUGCUGUACUGCUGUGUGUCUGCCCCUUCUUUAGGUCUUGGCUUAGAUUCAACUUCUCACAAAUGCCUUCCUUGGUUGCCCCAUCUGGAAGAGAACCUCUUGCCCUCUCUCUUUUCUUCCCCUCUUGACAUUUCUCUCUUGUUUUUGUUACUACACACAUCUUACGUAUUUCCUUCCUGUAAGUUCCUUCACUGCACAGGCAGUGACUUGUUCAGGGCUGUGUUCUUGGGUUUGUCCUUUCCUGCUGGAUCCAGGGUUUAGAAAGGUACCUGGUCCAUUGUACCACAAUGUGUAGCUAUUUUUGAAUGAAUGAGUGAGUGAAUUACUGUGCUCCCCGUGAGCGCUCCCAUUGAUGAUCCUUUCGAAGCAUAUGUCUGCCCCAAACAGUUGCACGCAGCAGCUUCAUCCCUGUUUUUGUGAAUCCUGACUACCCUACACUCCCCUUCUUAGUCUCCAGAGCCUUGCGGGACGCUCUUUAUUUUUUGACAGUUCUGCCAUAUUGAUCUCUUUUCUGUUCGCUGUAUGCAUGAGCACCUGUCCUGGCUCUUAAAUUUAUGGACACCUCUCCUUAGUAGAGGUUAACUUGAGGACAGAAACCUUGUCUCUCUUCUGCCCAUCCCACCUCCUCUUCCGGCUUGGCACCUAGCAAAGAAGAGGCACUCACACCUUACUGCCAGAUGAAUGAAGCCGGGUAAUGCUAUGGGCAGGCCGACUGAGUGUGCUGGAAGUGAGUCUCACCCUGGAAUUAAGUGUUUCUUUGGCACUGUGAGAUCUUAGUGCUCAAGCUGUGAGAUUUAAAGGCAAAAUGCUUCCUGCUAAUUAUUAACAGUUGCCCCGUAAGAACAAAGUCAUUAUGGGGCCCUGAACCCUGGCAUUGUGCCCCCUCCCAGCAGCAAACAAUGCCAUGGAGUGGGAGGUUAGCAAAAGCCACUACAGGCUUGGUACCCGCCAGACCUCAGAUUACCCAGAGAGGAUUGCAGUGUCGGGGCCACAAGAGUAGGGAGUGGAUAAAAGGAUUUGGAAUGAGAUUAUAACACCUAAAAGAUCCUUGCUUUUUUUUUUCAAGAAAUAAUUUAGUGGGUUUUGUCCAGGCAGCGAGACAAUCCAGUUGAGGACCUGGAGUGUAGAUCAAUGUCCUGGGGCUCUUCAGAUACUUAGAAAUAAGUUGAUCUGUAAUUGUUGCUUCUUGUGGGGGAAAAGAAGAAGAAAGACUGGAAUUGAGAGAAGGGAGCUCCUGAGUGGGCUCAGAUCUAUGAGGAUAACACAACUAAGAAAGGCCAUCAUGGUAGGCAAGGAUCGGGCAAUCCACAGUGGGAGGGUGUAGCAGGUUUCCUGCAGAAACAAGGAAUGGGCAUUACCUUUUAUUAGUGACUUCUGCUAGCUGUUGUCACCUCCUAUAGGCUCCCUGGCUUCAGCAGCUGGGAUACAAGCAUUCAAAAUAUGAGCCUUUGAAGGACAUUUCAGGUUCAAGCUAUAACACAAGGGGACCCAGAUUUUCAGUGUUCUCUCUCUCUCUCUCUCUCUCUCUCUCUCUCUCUCUCUCUCUCUCUCUCUCGACAGGGUUUCUCUGUAUAGCUCUGGUUGUCUGAAACUCACUUUGUAGACCAGGCUGGCCUCGAACUCAGAAAUCCACCUGCCUCUGCCUCCCGAGUGCUGGGAUUAAAGGCGUGCGCCACCACGCCAGGCAUGAAGAAAACUUUCAAGACCCCCAUUCCAUGAAAUGAAGCCUUGGACAGCAGGUACACCUUGUUCCAAACUUCACUACCAAAUCUUUCCUUUGACCUUCUGUCACUGACAGUCCACCUGAAGCCAUGGCUUUGCACUGAAUGAGUGCGUGAGAGCUGGUGGCGGUGACUUAGCUGGAAUGCUCACUUCGGUGUAAAUGCUCACUUUAUGAGGAUGUAACAAUGGUCCUACCCUUGGGAGGCCUCUAGGAGUGAUUCCAUUUUCAGUAUGUUUCUGAUUAGAGACUCUGUCUUGUCCCUUUCUCUUAAAAACCAGGACUGGGAAGAUGAGUCAGAGUCCCUUGCUAUGCAAGUGUGAGAGCCUGGGUUUGAAUCCCCAGCACCCAGAUAAAAAGCCAGUUGUGGCUUUGUGUCCCUACCCUAGCAUUGUGUGUGGUGGUGGUGAUGGUGCACACAGGGGGUAGGGGUGGGAUAGAGACAGGAGGAUUGCUGGGACCUUCUGGUUCCCUGCCUAGCUCUGGAUUGUCCAGGAUAGAAUAGGUGGAGCAUCCCCUUCUGGUCUUGGCUCACACAUGUGUACACAUACAUCACACAUAAACACGAAAGAAAAAAGAAAAAAAAACUGUGUAAAAAUGAAAAAUGGAGCGACCUGGACCUUCCUCUUAUCCCUUGCCUGAAAUGUUUUUUAUUUGAAGAUGGAGCUGGUUGAGGUUGAGUUAAUUAAAGCUUUAAUUGUGUUUGAUUCUGGAGCAGACCUAAUGUUGACUUACCCGAAUAAUGAAAUGCAGAUUGGCAUCUUCCUGGGGACACCCUUCCUGGGUUGGUCGGUAAGGAACUGAUAGCAACCUUAAAACCUGCUGGCUCUGCUCUGAGGCAUCUUUGUAUGUAUUUUUGACAAUCUGUUUGGAUAUGGGAAAAGUGUGAAUUGUCAUCCGACUGUGACUGAGAACUGCUGUCAGUGGCCGACUUGAGUGCUUGUGUGUUGGACAGAAGAUGUCAACUUACAAGACAAGAUUUAGCUACUCUUCAACCUUCUGAACAGGGUUAGUGUCACAGCCUGAGGCUGCCUGCCUUAGAGCUGGCCUUGCAGGAUUGGCCCUGGGGCUGGUGUCUGCAAACAUGGUAUUUGGAGAGGGUUUCCCCAUCUUUCCAAAACACUAAAGAGAGGCUCUCGGUACUCACACUGCUGUAUAAACUGUGUGCUUGAUAGAAGCUGUCUGGAAUUUUGGUGUAUUCUGGUAGAUCGUGCCCAAAUGAGUUGUCUCCAGUAAAACCUGUGAGCUUUCUUUGUGUGUGACAUGACUCUAUGUAGACAGCACAUUCAUUCCAUGUGUUGUCAGGAUUUGUUGCUGAAAGGAGAAAGUUCACCCUGUAUGGCGGAGAGGCUUCUUGGUAGCUGGCACUACAGUUUGGGGUAGACUUGACCGUAUGAGCUUUUACAUUGGCUGGCUUUGGUUUUUGACCUCCUAGUGACUUACUGAACCUAGAAGCCUGGGCUGGGCUACUCCUAAAUUUUCUCCAGCACUAUGGUGUUUCAAGCCUGUGCUGCCUCUUGAGUUUGCUCACCCGCCAAGUCUCUCCUACCUUCCAGUAUCCAGACACACAGGCCUGUUGAUUUUGCACCUGAAGGACCUCUGGAAUCCGGGUUUCCCGUGAUAAUUGUUCGCCUACUGUUCCCCAUCUUGCUGCAGUAGCCUGUUUUUAUUUCUUUCCCUUUUCCUUCCAGUCCAUCUUAAUGCUGUUUUGUCUGAAACUAAGCCACCAUAGAGCAUUGCUAGUGAAAUACCGAGACAGUGUAGUGUGUACUGUGACUACGGUUUGAAUCUCAGCUAUGCUCACUAUCCGCUAAAUUCUAUUACUUUACUGUGCGUUAGUGUCUGAAUAAUGUCCUUCGGUCAGUGUGUGCCUAAUAUCCUUAGAAGAGUGUUUAAUACAUCCUAGGUGCUUCACAUCUCAGUGUCAGCUGAGGUUAUGGUUUUUUUGGUUACCCACCUUGUUGCUGUCCUCUGGACUGUCCUCUGCUCUCUGGCAUUGUGACUGGGCGUGACUCUUUAAUAAUGAAUGAGAAACACAAGGUUGGUUAAGUAUAGUUCACAUAUGCAAUGAACUUAGUGAUUUUUGUUAUGAGGCUCUAAGACACCUUAACUGAUUAACAAUGUAAGAUACGCCUAGGUCAACUAAUGUCAGACUGUAGAGAGGGACCUCUGAGUAAUGUGGAAGAAGAGGUUGACCAGAUGGAUCUGGUGAGUUUCCCAACUCACGCUUGUCGCCAUCUCAGGUUUCUAGAAAGGGGGCAGGGAAAUGUUGGGAUUUGUUGUGCCGCUAAGAAACAAUCAUGGGAGAGAAGUCUGCCCUCGGGAUCCUUAGAUUCCACCCCUGCUGAAGCUUGCCUUUCUCCCAAGUGAUAUUUGAAGGUACUUAAUGCAGUUCGGGCACUUUCAAGAGAACAAUCAUGGUAUAAUGAUUUGUGAACAACUCUCCAGGGUGUCUAGAUUUCCUCCGGUUCCUGGACAUGGAAGGAACUCACAGAGAGGAAAACACAGGUCUGCUGGGGUAGUGGGUGGGGCUGCAGGGAGAACCACUAAGUCUUACAUUCCUUAGUUGAUAGAAAGGGUUAGUCUAGAAUGUCUGUUGUUGGUAGAAGCGACUGUGCUAUUUGCCACAUGCCAAUAGUCUUGUCCAAAGAGUUUUGUUAGUGAUACCUACAGGCUUUUGCUGUUUAAUAUUUAACAUUAGGUAGGUAUCCAUCAAAACCUUCACAUGGGACUGCAUCAUGAGAAUUACUGCCUUGGGAUCAUGGUUUGCUGUGCAUGUUUUUAGGAGCUAGAACACUAUAUUAGUUAUUAUCUGCUGUAUAACAAACACCACAAAUUAAGUAACCUGGCCCUUGUUAGGUGUGCUGGUAGGUUGGCCUGGACUCAACUGGAAUGAUGUAUUGUCAGUUCCUGUGACUUUUGUUUGUGCUCAGUUGUGUAUUUAGGGUUCUUUCGGGGUAGCUGGGGCCUCUUUCUCCAAGGAGUCUAAAAUCUAUUGAUAAAUUACUUCAUGUUUAUUUACAAGAUAGUAUAGGAAUCCCCAGUGGGGAAUAAGUAAGCCUGAAUAUUUAAGGAUAUUCAAUUUCUGUGUUGUAUUUGCUCAUAUGCCAUUGGCUGCAUUAAGUCUUGAGGCUAAGCUAGACUCCACGUUGGUAUAUAUGCACAGGAUGUAGAGGCUUGGUUGAGGUCCAUUGCUGUAGUGAAUUACAAGGAGCUCACGACAGAAACCAAAUCAACACUACAGUUGAAGUCUCCCUCCACUAUUGUCCUCCAGAGUGAAGUUCACAGCCACUGUCUGCCUGGGCCCCUUUAGUACUGCUUCCCUUCUGCCUCAGAGAUUGAUAGGCAUCGUUUGUCUCUAAGGGGCCACUGGAAGAAUGUGCCUGGAUCAACACAAAUCUUGGGCUGACGGUGGAAGUAGAAGAGGAACUGAGUAGAUAGCAAGUAAAGCCCACACAGAGUGUUGUGACAAAAUGACAUCUCAAAUCCCCCGCAGUUGUCUGAGCCCGGGCUGUGUCUUCUUUCCAUUCUUGAAUGUAUCUCAGUUCUCAAAUGCCAACAAGUUCUAGAUCUGCCUGUUGUUUGUUCUUCUGACAGUGAGUGGGCAUUAGUGUGCAGUGCAGUCAAGUACGCAGACAACAGAAUAGUGGCAUACAGAGAGACCCAGGACCCCAGUGCUUCAGCUGGGUCAGCCACCUGUUAACUUUGACCUUCAGCAAAGUGGAUGGAUUAGAUAACAUCUGGUUUUAUCUGACUUGCAGUGAUUUAAUGUUCUGUAUAUCGGGGGUUCUAGUGUUAAAUAUAUCUGGUGAUUAACUGUGCUAACUCAUUAAAAAUGUUGUCUUGGGUUAUACCAAGAGAACAGAAUUGAGGGAAUAGCUGUGUUUGUAGGCCGAUGUUUAGAAAGCCUAGGAUAGGCUAGGUAGGGGAAGAAGUAAGCAGAGUGGAUGGAUAGUCUGUGAGACUUAGGAUAAGGCUAUGCCUUGGGCCAGACACCUUUAUCAUCCCUUCUUCUUUGACAAAGCCAGUGAUGGGGUUUAGUUGAUAUCAAAUGUGUCAGGGAAACAACUGGAGGAGAUGGCUAGUUUUCUGGAUGUGGUUCCCUAGUGGGAACCUGUUGCGAGGUGGCAUCUUAUCCAAACAGAGAGGAAGAAUCAAACUGCAGCAAGAAUGAAAUUCUAUUCUGUGAAUGAAGUUUAGACCAAAAGUCUGAGAUGGCUGUGUCAGGUGGAACACGUUUUCCUGCUGUGGUAUCUGGGAGUCCUUCCUGUGGUGCAGGCUCUUGGCUGAGGACAUCACCAAGUAUGAGGUGAUACUAUCAGUCUGUGCGUGUGCGUGUGUUCGUAUGUCCACAUGUGCAUAUGUGUGUGUACAUGUGUCUCUGUGUGUGCACAUGUUCGUGUGUGUGUGUGUGUGUGUGUGUGUGUGUGUGUGUGUGUAUGUGUGUAUUUGAGGCUUGGCAUAGAACCAGAGAGGCCCACAGUAUCCUGCUCAUCUUGGGUCUUCUGUCUUCUCAGGUACACAGGAAACAGGAACUGAGCUCAUCUUGGCCACAAUAUGUCCCUCCCUACCUUUGUGUACUGUCCAAUACUUGUUAAGUACUCAAGAAUAAUGAACAAACUAAGAAAAUUUGGGCAGGAAUCUAAGGAUGUAACUCAGUUGCAGAGUACUUGCGUAGUGUAGGAGAGAGCCUAGAAUUGGUCCCAGUAAAAGAAAGAGAAUUAGAAGACAUUUUGGGCAACCUGGGCAUUCUAAUGGGCCACAGCUGGCAAACCUAGACCUACACAUGGCCCGUCUCCAACCCCCAACCCUAAAGUACUGAUUUUUUGUUUGUUUGGUUGGUUGAUUUGGUUUGUUUUUCGAAAUGGUUUCUCUGUGUAGCCCUGGCUGUCCUGGAACUCACUCUGUAGACCAAGCUGGCCUCGAACUCAGAAAUCCACCUGCCUCUACCUCCCAAGUUCUGGGAUUAAAGGCGUGCGCCACCAUUGCCCGGCAAGUACUGAUCCUAGUGUAGCCAAGUAUCUAUCCUUUUGUAAUUUAUCUCUAUUUCCCCAGAAAUAAAAUAGCUUUACUGAAUGUUCUGAUCAGUAAGUUAGUGUACAGACUUGGUUGCUCUAGGAGACAACUCAAGAGGGAAGUGAUUAUAGUAUAACAAUCCAAGGACUCAGGAGAUGGAGUUAGGGAGGUCCUGAGUUUAAGUGCAACUUGGACCACUAUGUAGGGAAACACAAUGGAGAUGUAAGUUAGACUCACUGUUUCAGAGGUUCCCAUUCAUGGUAGUCGUUUCUGCUGUUUCUGGGCCAUGGUCAGGCAGACCAUGACACCAAGGAUGUGGCCUGGCAGAUUUGCUUAUCUUGGAGCUAAGAAUGGAGGGGGUGGGCAGGGGUAUCUCUUUUUAGGGUAUGUCACCAAUGAACUACCUUCCCCACCUUCUGAAGUUACAUCACCCCUCAAAAGAAUGGCAAUAGCUAGGAGCCAGUUACACAAUACAUGAGUCUGUGUGAAGCACAGCGUGUUCAAACCUUAGCUCAUGCUCGUGUAGAGUAGUCAGGUGGAGGAACACAAAACACUCUAAAACCACCCCUAUUUCCAUGUUGUUUUACAUCACAGGAAAACUAUUAAUUUUUUCUUAUUUUAAAAUUGUAGUCAAAUAAUAUAUAGCAGAAGAUCCCAUAAUCACUUGUGUUUAUUUUGGGAUGGGGGGAUAUUGGGUCUCAGAUCUCAGCCCAAGGUGGACUGGGACUCACUGUGUUGUCAGCUUAGAAACUCGAGCCCUAUAUCCUCCUGUUUCUAUCUUUCAAGUGUGGGGAACACAGGUGGACCCUGCCAUGUCUGACCACCAUGUGUAUGGUUCUGUCAUGUUGAGUGUACUUGCGGUAUUGUUCAUAUGACCUCUAGAACUUUCUCACCUUUAAAACUGAUGCGAUCUGGUUGAGGCAGCCACCAUUCUGUUUUCUAUUUCCGUGUCUGACCACAGUAGGCAUCUCAUCCGAUCAUAUAGUACUGACUUCUUCACGCCUGGCUGGCUUCUUACUGCCUCUGAGAUCUGUACAUGCUAUAGCAGCUAGGUGUCAGGAUUUUCUUCCCUUUCAAAGCUAAUGCUCCCUUUGUAUGUGUGUUCCAGUUACUCAGCGAGCAGCACUUCCUUGGACUGUUCCUGGGUACUGAGAAUAGCACUAUUACCAACAUGGAUUGUCUUAGUCACUGUUCUGUUGCUGUGAAGAGGCACCAUGACCAAGGCUACUUACAGGAGAAAGUGUUUAAUUGGGGGCUUGCUUACAGUUUCAGAGGGUUAGUCUAUGGCCAUCAUGGUGGGCAGCAUGGUGACAUAGAGGCCCGCAUGGUGCUGGGGAAGUGACUAUGAGCUUAAACAUCCUGAUCUGCAGGCAAAGAGAGAGACAACCUGGUAUGGACUACCUGUUAAUAAGUUACUGUACCUUUACAUACAUGGUUUAUGAAUAAAAUAGGUGGUACUUUGGAGUGUGAAUAUUUCCCUCAAGAGUGUGCCAUGUGCAUCAACAUUAACGUGUGAGAUGCUCUUUUAUGCCCCAUGUUUAAUGUCCCCAUAUGUAGAUUUAGGUUAUUCUCUGUAAAUUGGUAUUAUAACUGUGCCUCAGUAAACAUGCUGAGACUUGGCACCUUUGCCUGAUAAUAAAAAUAGUCAUUUCAGUCAAAUCUUGAGUUGGAUUUUCUAGGAGCAGAGCCUGAGCCAGGUUUGCAUGUGAGGGAUUUGCUGAGGGAGUAUUGGGGGUCAGGGAAGGGACUAACACAGCAGAUGAAGAGAGACCAAGCAAAGAAGGCCUAAAGUUGAGCCUUGGCCUCGACUGGAGUGUAAUUACACCAGCAAAUCCCCCUUGGGACCAGAAGACCAGGCUUUUACACUGUCAACCAUUUAUCUUGGAACUCUGUGGCCUCUUGGAAUCUUCAGCUGAGAGCAGUUUGUUAAAGUCGUGGCUUUGAGCAGUUAGCCCACAGGGCAGCUGAGGGGAAGAUCAUGGGCCCUGGCACAGAGCAUAUUGGCAGAUGGCUGCUGCAGGCCAAGCUAGGUAGGUCACUGGUUAUUUGAAACGGGUGCCUUUUGUGAUCUGCUCAUCGGUUCUCCCAGUUGCUGGGCAGCUUGACCAUCAGUGUAGGCAUGUGUGGUAAGAGGUGUGCCACCGGCCUCAGGAGAGCAGUGUGCUCGCUCACCAGGUGUCCUCAGCCCUCCUAGCAGCCCUUCCCACUGCAGACUGGAAAUACUGCCAUUCUUUCAGCCAGCAUGGUGGGCCUGCUGAAAACAGAGCAAGGAGGUAUCCUCAGCUAAGUCUAGAAGAUUCACAACCAUCUUAGGACGAGUAGUUCUGUCAUUUAUAAGCAGGAGAAUAAAUACAAUUUCUCAUUGUCCAUUUGGAUCUUCUAGAAGUGCUGUGGUCUUGAAUACUGACAGGGUCUGGCAGUCUUUUCUCUCUUUCUCAUGCCAGUGUGCUGCACCCAAGGGUUAUGUGUAUCGGCAAAAGGUGAGCUGGUUUUCUGCUGAUCAGUGAUUACUAUAGGAUUAUUCCUAAGUGAUCCUAGAUGGCUUAAAAGAUAGCACUCCUUAAAGGUUUGGUUGGCAGUGGGAUUGGGAUGGUUUGGGUAAUCUCAUUGUGAACAUGCAGAAUACAUGCAGAAUACAUGCAAAAUACAUCCAAAACAUGUAUGUUGGGAUUGAGGAGCUCGCUCAAGGGUGAGACGCUGCGUGCAGGUGUGAGAGCCAUUCCCAGAACCCUCCUAAAAGCCAGAUCCAGGUUUGUGGGUUUGUCAUCCUGGCACAGGGAAAGCAGAAACAGGAUGUUUGGGGCCUGACCAGCCCUGUUAGCCAGGUUGGAGAACUCCUUGAGGUACUGUCCCAAAAACUAGGGUGGGGACGAGCUUGAGAAAGGUCCACCUGUCUCACUUAAACACACACACACACACACACACACACACACACACACACAC